UACGUAGGGGGGCAAGCGUUGUCCGGAUUUAUUGGGCGUAAAGAGCGUGUAGGCGGCCUGAAAGGUCAGCUGUGAAACUCGAGGCUCAACCUCGAGACGUCGGUUGAAACCAUCUGGCUAGAGUCCGGAAGAGGAGAGUGGAAGUUCCCGGUGUAGCGGUGAAAUGCGCAGAUAUCGGGGAAGAACACCCGUGCGAAGGCGGCUCUCUGG
RNAcentral lists this ribosomal RNA (210 nucleotides) under uncultured bacterium. RNAcentral describes it as "partial 16S ribosomal RNA". It matches the Rfam family "Bacterial small subunit ribosomal RNA", at positions 524 to 732 of the family's 1533-position model. The record is from RNAcentral.